UAAGGAAUAUUGGUCAAUGGACGCAAGUCUGAACCAGCCAUGCCGCGUGAAGGAUGAAGGUCCUCUGGAUUGUAAACUUCUUUUAUCUGGGACGAAAACGGGAUUUUUAUCUCAAUUGACGGUACCAGAGGAAUAAGCACCGGCUAACUCCGUGCCAGCAGCCGCGGUAAUACGGAGGGUGCGAGCGUUAUCCGGAUUUACUGGGUUUAAAGGGUGCGUAGGUGGGCUUAUAAGUCAGUGGUGAAAUCUCCGAGCUUAACUUGGAAACUGCCGUUGAUACUAUAGGUCUUGAAUUAUCUGGAGGUAAGCGGAAUAUGUCAUGUAGCGGUGAAAUGCUUAGAUAUGACACAGAACACCAAUUGCGAAGGCAGCUUACUACAUAUAAAUUGACGCUGAGGCACGAAAGCGUGGGGAUCAAACA
RNAcentral lists this ribosomal RNA (421 nucleotides) under uncultured bacterium. RNAcentral describes it as "bacterial SSU rRNA". It matches the Rfam family "Bacterial small subunit ribosomal RNA", at positions 355 to 774 of the family's 1533-position model. The record is from RNAcentral.